UACGUAGGGGGCAAGCGUUAUCCGGAAUUAUUGGGCGUAAAGAGUGCGUAGGUGGUCUUGUAAGCGUGGGGUGAAAGGCAGUGGCUUAACCAUUGUAAGCCCUGCGAACUGUGAGACUUGAGUGCAGGAGAGGAAAGCGGAAUUCCUAGUGUAGCGGUGAAAUGCGUAGAUAUUAGGAGGAACACCAGUGGCGAAGGCGGCUUUCUGGACUGUAACUGACACUGAGGCACGAAAGCGUGGGGAGCAAACAGGAUUAGAUACCCUGGUAGUCCACGCCGUAAACGAUGAGCACUAGGUGUCGGGGUCGCAAGACUUCGGUGCCGCAGUUAACGCAUUAAGUGCUCCGCCUGGGGAGUACGCACGCAAGUGUGAA
RNAcentral lists this ribosomal RNA (373 nucleotides) under uncultured bacterium. RNAcentral's name for it is "bacterial SSU rRNA". It matches the Rfam family "Bacterial small subunit ribosomal RNA", at positions 524 to 898 of the family's 1533-position model. The record is from RNAcentral.